Molecule: ribosomal RNA, 409 nt
Filed under: bacterium
Lineage: Bacteria
Description: partial 16S ribosomal RNA
Rfam family: Bacterial small subunit ribosomal RNA
Source: RNAcentral
UGGGGAAUAUUGCACAAUGGGGGAAACCCUGAUGCAGCAACGCCGCGUGCGGGAUGACGGCCUUCGGGUUGUAAACCGCUUUCAGCCAUGACGAAGCUUUUGUGACGGUAGUGGCAGAAGAAGCACCGGCUAACUACGUGCCAGCAGCCGCGGUGAUACGUAGGGUGCGAGCGUUGUCCGGAAUUAUUGGGCGUAAAGAGCUUGUAGGCGGUUUGUCGCGUCGAAAGUGUAAACUCAGUGCUUAACGCUGAGCCUGCUUUCGAUAAGGGCUGACUAGAGGAAGGUAGGGGAGAAUGGAAUUCCCGGUGGAGCGGUGGAAUGCGCAGAUAUCGGGAGGAACACCAGUGGCGAAGGCGGUUCUCUGGACCUUUCCUGACGCUGAGAAGCGAAAGCGUGGGUAGCAAACAGG